UGAGAUACGGCCCCAGAUUCCUACGGGGAGGCAGCAGUGGGGAAUAUUGCACAAUGGGCGCAAGCCUGAUGCAGCGACGCCGCGUGAGGGAUGACGGCCUUCGGGUUGUAAACCUCUUUCAGUAGGGACGAAGCGAAAGUGACGGUACCUACAGAAGAAGGACCGGCCAACUACGUGCCAGCAGCCGCGGUAAUACGUAGGGUCCGAGCGUUGUCCGGAAUUACUGGGCGUAAAGAGCUCGUAGGUGGUUUGUCGCGUUGUUCGUGAAAACUCACAGCUUAACUGUGGGCGUGCGGGCGAUACGGGCAGACUAGAGUACUGCAGGGGAGACUGGAAUUCCUGGUGUAGCGGUGGAAUGCGCAGAUAUCAGGAGGAACACCGGUGGCGAAGGCGGGUCUCUGGGCAGUAACUGACGCUGAGGAGCGAAAGCGUGGGUAGCGAACAGGAUUAGAUACCCUGGUAGUCCACGCCGUAAACGGU
Molecule: ribosomal RNA, 480 nt
Filed under: Mycobacteroides abscessus
Lineage: Bacteria; Bacillati; Actinomycetota; Actinomycetes; Mycobacteriales; Mycobacteriaceae
Description: bacterial SSU rRNA
Rfam family: Bacterial small subunit ribosomal RNA
Source: RNAcentral